AGUGAACGCUGGCGGUAGGCCUAACACAUGCAAGUCGAACGGCAGCACAGGAGAGCUUGCUCUCUGGGUGGCGAGUGGCGGACGGGUGAGGAAUACAUCGGAAUCUACUCUGUCGUGGGGGAUAACGUAGGGAAACUUACGCUAAUACCGCAUACGACCUACGGGUGAAAGCAGGGGACCUUCGGGCCUUGCGCGAUUGAAUGAGCCGAUGUCGGAUUAGCUAGUUGGCGGGGUAAGGGCCCACCAAGGCGACGAUCCGUAGCUGGUUUGAGAGGAUGAUCAGCCACACUGGUACUGAGACACGGUCCAGACUCCUACGGGAGGCAGCAGUGGGGAAUAUUGGACAAUGGGCGCAAGCCUGAUCCAGCCAUACCGCGUGGGUGAAGAAGGCCUUCGGGUUGUAAAGCCCUUUUGUUGGGAAAGAAAUCCAGCUGGCUAAUACCCGGUUGGGAUGACGGUACCCAAAGAAUAAGCACCGGCUAACUUCGUGCCAGCCGCCGCCGUAA
This 506-nucleotide ribosomal RNA is filed under the name uncultured bacterium. Its description in RNAcentral is "partial 16S ribosomal RNA". It matches the Rfam family "Bacterial small subunit ribosomal RNA", at positions 29 to 523 of the family's 1533-position model. The record is from RNAcentral.